This is a non-coding RNA of Panus rudis PR-1116 ss-1, 100 nucleotides long. The record is from the annotation of a GenBank genome assembly. NCBI's taxonomy places the organism in Eukaryota, Fungi, Basidiomycota, Agaricomycetes, Polyporales, Panaceae.
UCCGAUAUGGUGUAACGGCUAACAUUACCGCCUUUCAUGUGCUGGGGUUCAUUCCUCAACAUGUACGCGGUAGCUCGGGGUUCGAUUCCCCGUAUCGGAG